Molecule: long non-coding RNA, 374 nt
Organism: Pipistrellus kuhlii (Kuhl's pipistrelle)
Lineage: Eukaryota; Metazoa; Chordata; Mammalia; Chiroptera; Vespertilionidae
Exons: 3
Source: RefSeq, a predicted model, not a curated record
AGUUCUUUGUUUGUUACUUCAGAACACUUUGUUGAGCAGUUUUGAAAAUUUAUCUGUUGGUGUACCCAACUUCAAUAAUCUCAAACUAAUGCUUGUCCUUGGAAUACAGAUGCAAUGCUCUGAGGAAGUCCAGCAGCCAGCCUCAAUUCCAAAAAUGUAAGAGAGUUUUUAAGCCACUAUAGCUGACACCGAGUGAAGCAGACACAAGUUAUUCCCAUCAAGCCCUGACCAACUUUCAGGUCCAAAACUUUGGAAAUACACUUGACACUUCUCAUUUUCUCAUAUCUGACAUCCCAUUUACUAGGAAACCUUGUUGGCUCUGUUUUCACAAAAUACCAAAUAUCUCACCACUUUCACAACUUUCACUGAUACUG